CCAGGACCAAGCCCUCACAGAGGUGGCUACUCCUCCAGACCCCACCUGCCCCAACAGCUGGAGGGCGAAGCUGCUGCAGGCAUGGGAGGCAGAGGAAUGGUGGAGGAGCUGGGGUGCUGGGCGUGCAGUAGUGCUUGACUGGAAACCGGACGAAGCUGCAGAUGGGAGAGGCACUGCUUGAACACUCCUGCCGCAUCCAUCACUCCGGGCACCUCCUGCAGUGCACACGGUCUCACUUUGAUUUUAAUCCCACCAAUAGCAGGAAGGAGGUAUGAGCCUCAUCUGCAGCUCAGGAUGAUUAGGGGACAAGUCUGGGGUCAUGUGCUGGUAAGGGAAAGAAUGUGGACUCAAUCUCACGUGGCCUGGCUCCAAAACCCGUCCAUUUGCUAAUUUAGUUUAAACCACCGGUUUUUUAACUUAAAAAUUUUGUUUCUGAACGUUGAAAAUGAAUAUAAAAUUCAAUGUGCUUCUCUGUACUCUCUUAGCAACUUCCUG
Molecule: long non-coding RNA, 495 nt
Filed under: Homo sapiens (human)
Lineage: Eukaryota; Metazoa; Chordata; Mammalia; Primates; Hominidae
Description: HSALNT0111212
Source: RNAcentral